GGCCCUUUGAACUCUAGAGAAGAGCUUUCCCUUCGGGGACAAAGUGACAGGUGGUGCAUGGUUGUCGUCAGCUCGUGUCGUGAGAUGUUGGGUUAAGUCCCGCAACGAGCGCAACCCUUAUUACUAGUUGCCAGCAUUUAGUUGGGCACUCUAGUGAGACUGCCGGUGACAAACCGGAGGAAGGUGGGGACGACGUCAAAUCAUCAUGCCCCUUAUGACCUGGGCUACACACGUGCUACAAUGGAUGGUACAACGAGUUGCGAGACCGCGAGGUUUAGCUAAUCUCUUAAAACCAUUCUCAGUUCGGAUUGUAGGCUGCAACUCGCCUACAUGAAGCCGGAAUCGCUAGUAAUCGCGGAUCAGCAUGCCGCGGUGAAUACGUUCCCGGGUCUUGUACACACCGAAAUU
This 408-nucleotide ribosomal RNA is filed under the name Latilactobacillus sakei. RNAcentral's name for it is "bacterial SSU rRNA". It matches the Rfam family "Bacterial small subunit ribosomal RNA", at positions 985 to 1397 of the family's 1533-position model. Lineage: Bacteria; Bacillati; Bacillota; Bacilli; Lactobacillales; Lactobacillaceae. The record is from RNAcentral.